GACGAACCGUGCGAACGUUAUUCGGAAUCACUGGGCUUAAAGCGCGUGUAGGCGGGACGGCACGUCGGUCGCUGAAAGCCCCCGGCUCAACCGGGGAACGGGCGCCGAUACGACCGCCCUCGAGGAACGUAGGGGGACCUGGAACUUCCGGUGGAGCGGUGAAAUGCGUUGAGAUCGGAAGGAACGCCCGUGGCGAAAGCGAGGUCCUGGACGUUUACUGACGCUGAGACGCGAAAAGCCAGGGGGAGCGAACGGG
RNAcentral lists this ribosomal RNA (256 nucleotides) under uncultured bacterium. RNAcentral describes it as "partial 16S ribosomal RNA". It matches the Rfam family "Bacterial small subunit ribosomal RNA", at positions 524 to 776 of the family's 1533-position model. The record is from RNAcentral.